Molecule: long non-coding RNA, 620 nt
Filed under: Capsicum annuum
Lineage: Eukaryota; Viridiplantae; Streptophyta; Magnoliopsida; Solanales; Solanaceae
Description: long non-coding RNA (CANN_LNC014903)
Source: RNAcentral
AUUAUUACUUAUAAUUUCAAUCUAUAAAAUAAUUACAAUUUCUUUUAACACUCUCUCUCAAAAACAUUCGGAUACAUAUUAACACACACUCGUUCCUCCAUCAACCAACAAUCAUCUCCAUCGAUUUCCUCCAUUAUUAUCUUCAUUCAAUCAAUUUCUUUUCCUCAUUUUAGUCAGUUGAUACGACAAACAACAUUCUUUUCCUCCCUCAAACACACACUCAUUUUUAUAAUUUUGAAUCAAUAAACAUACCCAUUCAUAUUAACACCCCAUUAAUUCCCAUACCUCCAAAUCUGGAUGUUGCUGACUGAUUUUCGCUGUUUUUGGCAGCGACGGUAAAGUUACUGGUUAUUCUCAUUGGAGCUUCAUCGGAGUUUGUUUGGAACAUUGAAAUUUCGUCAUCAUUGAGCAUUGGUGAUGCUGUGAGCCAGUUGUUGAUGGUGUUUUGAUGGUCGAACUCACUGGAUCUGGAAUCACGGUAGUGGUGAUGUCGGUUGUAGUGGUAGUUUGGGUGGUUAAUGGUCGGAGUUCACCAUUAAAAAUAAUGUAUCUUGCUGAAAAAUAUCUAUCAAAAUUCUUUUUUGUGUUACUGAUACAUAAGUAUUAUUUAUGAGAAUAAG